AAAGGAAUAGACGGGGACCCGCACAAGCGGUGGAUGAUGUGGAUUAAUUCGAUGCAACGCGAAAAACCUUACCUACCCUUGACAUGUCAGGAAUCCUCGAGAGAUUGAGGAGUGCUCGAAAGAGAACCUGAACACAGGUGCUGCAUGGCCGUCGUCAGCUCGUGUCGUGAGAUGUUGGGUUAAGUCCCGCAACGAGCGCAACCCUUGUCAUUAGUUGCUACGCAAGAGCACUCUAAUGAGACUGCCGGUGACAAACCGGAGGAAGGUGGGGAUGACGUCAGGUCCUCAUGGCCCUUAUGGGUAGGGCUUCACACGUCAUACAAUGGUCGGGACAGAGGGCAGCCAACCCGCGAGGGGGAGCCAAUCCCAGAAACCCGAUCGUAGUCCGGAUUGGAGUCUGCAACUCGACUCCAUGAAGUCGGAAUCGCUAGUAAUCGCGGAUCAGAAUGUCGCGGUGAAUACGUUCCCGGGUCUUGCACACACCGCCCGU
This 490-nucleotide ribosomal RNA is filed under the name uncultured bacterium. RNAcentral describes it as "bacterial SSU rRNA". It matches the Rfam family "Bacterial small subunit ribosomal RNA", at positions 903 to 1397 of the family's 1533-position model. The record is from RNAcentral.